GAUGAACGCUGGCGGCGUGCCUAACACAUGCAAGUCGAGCGAACACACCAGCAGUUCGCUCCGUCGACGGUGGCGGCGGGCGGGUGAGUAACGCGUAGGUAACCUACCUCUAUGACUGGGAGGACUUCGGGAAACAGGAUCUGCUACCGCCUAAUAUUUCGAACCGCAUGGUUCGAGAGUGAGAGAAGCCUUGGCUGUUACUUUUAGACGGACCUGCGCCGGAUUAGCAAGUUGGUAAGGGAACGGCUCACCAAGGCAACGAGUCGUAGCCGACCUGAGCGGGUUGUCGGCCACACUGGAGCUUAUGCACGGUCCAGGCUCCUGCGGGAGGCAGCAGUGGGGAUUGUUGCACACUGGGCGCAAGCCUGACGCAGCGACACCGCGUGGGUGACGAAGGUCUUCGGAUCGUAAACCUCUGUUAGUAGGGAAGAAGAAUUGCGGACGAAGCUGUGCAGGCCUUGACGGUACCCAAUCAGAAAGCGACGGCUAACUUCGUG
This 497-nucleotide ribosomal RNA is filed under the name uncultured bacterium. RNAcentral's name for it is "partial 16S ribosomal RNA". It matches the Rfam family "Bacterial small subunit ribosomal RNA", at positions 28 to 507 of the family's 1533-position model. The record is from RNAcentral.